AUGAAUGCGGCGUGGGCGGUGCACAUCUACCACGGCGACAACGGCCCGUACCUGCUCCUCCACAGCACCGCCUACGGCCGCUACCUCGCCGCCACGGCCACGCCGGCGAGGCUCGGCCACCUCGGCCUGCGCGCGGAGCUGCGCGACUACGACCAGCCGAGGGUGGAGGCCAUCAUGUGGCAGGCCGUGGAGUCGGGCUUCGCGGAUGACGUCGUCCUGCUCCGCAACGUCGGCGGCCGCUUCCUCCGCGCCAACGGCAGGUACCUCCGCUGGAACGCCGGCGUCAGCGUCGACAACAGCGUCAGCACCAUGAUGUACUGGGUCGUCGAGCCCAUCCCCGCCAGAGAGGACAUGCUUGCCCUUCCUGCCCCGCCUCUGAAUCCCCCAUACGGGUACCUCCUCGGGGUCUACCUGGAGCCGGGACGGCUGAUCCGGUUCGUGCGGGCGGUCGACGACGGGCACUACCCCGAGGACCCCGAGGCCGACGGCUGGCAGCAGUUCUGGUUCAGGGGGAGGUCAGCGUUUCGCCUGAGGGACGACCUGGGGUUCCUCGUCGGCGCCGGCGUGUACUACCCGAACAUCGCCAUGUGCGUCCGAGCGGGCCGCUACGGGAGGCUGACCCCGCUCGUCGUCGACCUGUCCGACGGCGGCUACGGCGAGACCUCGAGAUUGUCGUCUUCCUGGCCGACACCCCUGAUUACUGAAAUUGUUCUAGUCUGA
This 720-nucleotide ribosomal RNA is filed under the name Triticum aestivum (bread wheat). Its description in RNAcentral is "partial small subunit ribosomal RNA". Lineage: Eukaryota; Viridiplantae; Streptophyta; Magnoliopsida; Poales; Poaceae. The record is from RNAcentral.